RNAcentral lists this ribosomal RNA (292 nucleotides) under uncultured bacterium. Its description in RNAcentral is "partial 16S ribosomal RNA". It matches the Rfam family "Bacterial small subunit ribosomal RNA", at positions 505 to 796 of the family's 1533-position model. The record is from RNAcentral.
GUGCCAGCAGCCGCGGUAAUACGUAGGGUGCGAGCGUUAAUCGGAAUUACUGGGCGUAAAGCGUGCGCAGGCGGUUCUAUAAGACAGAUGUGAAAUCCCCGGGCUUAACCUGGGAACUGCGUUUGUGACUGUAGGACUCGAGUGUGGCAGAGGGGGGUGGAAUUCCACGUGUAGCAGUGAAAUGCGUAGAGAUGUGGAGGAACACCGAUGGCGAAGGCAGCCCCCUGGGUCAACACUGACGCUCAUGCACGAAAGCGUGGGUAGCAAACAGGAUUAGAUACCCCCGUAGUCC